CUGUCAUCUUUCAUCUGUUGGCGCCUGCAGCUCCUAACUGCCUUCUGUAAUCCAGAACACUUCUUGAGGCAUGAAGGUUAGCCUAUUAGGGAACUUCCCCUAGUUUGAGCUUUCACCACACCCUCCUCUGGAUCCUGCCUCGGGCAACUGAACAAAUGGGAAGGUGGUGACCCGGUCUUCAGUAGCCUCAGGUUGAGCACAUCACCCUUUCGAACGGGUCCUUUGACAUUUCAGAUGAAAGAACGGCUGGUGUCAUUCAUAGAUUCCACUCCCACCUGCGCGCACUGUCCUUGCGAACCGGUCCUGCCCAGCACUUUGGUUACCCUAGCCAGCUUGAUGGUCUGCACACGCACAACUCGUGUCCAUGAUGGCGGCGAUCUGUUGGAGAGCCAAUCUUAGUAUUUCAGAGGCAGAGACAGACAAAUCUCUUGUGAGUUGGAGGCCAGCCUGGUCUAUGUAUUGAGUUCCAGGUCAGCCAGGGCUACAUAGUGAGACCUUGUAUCAAACAAACAAACAGAUGGGACUUUUGCAUUGUUUUGCUUUUUUGAGUCAAGGUCUCUGUGUAGCCCAAGCCGGGCUUUAAGAUGCCCUGUUGCUGCCCCAGCCUCUGGAGUGCUGAGAUGACAGGUGCAGACUGCCAUACCUGUCCAGUGCUGUGCCCAUAGGGUGGCAUGGCACUUUUGGCAUGUGGGUUACUCAGUUAUGUUAAUCAGGACACAGAAACAGUAUGUCCGUAA
This 737-nucleotide long non-coding RNA is filed under the name Mus musculus (house mouse). RNAcentral's name for it is "RIKEN cDNA 9630014M24 gene". Lineage: Eukaryota; Metazoa; Chordata; Mammalia; Rodentia; Muridae. The record is from RNAcentral.